This is a non-coding RNA of Pelobates cultripes (western spadefoot toad), 378 nucleotides long. Lineage: Eukaryota; Metazoa; Chordata; Amphibia; Anura; Pelobatidae. The record is from the annotation of a GenBank genome assembly.
UCCAGAAGGGUUAGAAUGGUCCAGCCUAUUCAGGUGAACGUUUCCACUGCAAGUCGGACAGCCAGGGGGCAUGCGGGAUUUUGACCAAAUGCCUAGCGUGUCAUGUGUUGUGAGCAUUAACGUUUUCCUGUCUGCCAAUCAACUGAUGUAUGGUGUGAUGGCAGUAGCUACGCCCUAACCGUACCGUACCAUUUCCUAAGGACCUACAUCUGAAGGGGGCCCUGGAAUGGUAUGGUUGGGUUCGGCUGUAUGGGCCACUUUCAUAAUGGAAACACUCAAAAUAGCAUACCAGACCGUAUCUGCCCGAACCGCUCAGUGGAAACGAGGCAUUAGAUUACAUUGAAGAUACACAUAGAGACAACUCAUGUGCAACAUUUC